This is a long non-coding RNA of Mauremys mutica (yellowpond turtle), 1034 nucleotides long. RefSeq lists it as uncharacterized. NCBI's taxonomy places the organism in Eukaryota, Metazoa, Chordata, Testudines, Geoemydidae. The transcript is spliced from 3 exons. The record is from RefSeq and is a predicted model, not a curated record.
CAGAUGCUAUGGUAUUGAGGGCUAUAUAAGUAUCUGACAUGAGUAGGCCUCUGCUUAUGCAUGUGUCAAAGACUGACGGAUGCCAUUUAUCUUGGCACCAUUAGCAGGGGAAUCCUCUUAAUUAUGGUCUCUCUUGGUACCAUUUUUGUCACUGUCUUUUGUACAAUCCCACCUCCCUCCAGAAUCCCCAGUUUCCGAAUAUCUCUGGCUGAUUUCCCCAUUCUUCCCUUUUCCUUGGCAAAAUUCAUUCACUGUGGGCACUGACCUGAAGUCCAAGACAAUACCACAAUGCAGGGCUCGUCCACCACCUCCUGUAGGUGCUAUUUGCAGAAACCUUCCUUAUAGCACCAUAGCCACAGAACAACCAGUGUCGUUUAGGGAACUUUAGCCCCAGCCAGGUUGGGGCUGAAAUUUGCUGUUUCUUUUCCUACCAGAUGGUGACUCUGAGCCCUUAUUCACCUCCCAAGUACAUGCAGUUGGGCCCCAAAGCAGAAAACAACAAGCGCCAUCUUCUCCUUAGCAACGUACAAGUGGCUUCCGCAGAGUUCUUGGCUUCUGGGAGAGGCAAUGCACUGAGAAACAUAGCGUUAAAGGCGCGUUGCACAGGAAAACGUGGGCUGUUACCCUAAGCAAGCACGUGAAAUACUGUCUUUGUGUGGUGAGCUCCCCUUCCUGUUUCAGUCUGCCUUAACCACUGCUUCCAAGUCUGAAUGUUCUGAGAGCUCUCACUCCCUACCCCUGCUGACACGUGAUCAUGGAUGCCGUAAAGCACCACAGCACACCUGUGCAGACAGGUGUCCAGAAAGAAACAAGACCCCCUAUCCUCCCCAGGAGCAAUGUUGACCAUGAGAGAGCUGAUGAGCAGCAGUGUUUCAUCCUAAUGGAAUGGAUGAAUCAGGGAAACAUAUGCUGCUACCAUGUAGAUAACCAAAAAGUGGGCCGGUGAGAGUCAGCAAAGAAACUGUCAAGGAGACUUUCUAAUGGUGGGCAUACAGACCAUCACGACAGAGCUGAUGAUCAUCGUGAGUCAUGAA